GUGAAUAGUGAAAAAAAAUAUAAAAAAAAUUGACCGUGACACUAUAGCUAUAUUUUGAUUCGCAAUGACCAUAAGAGGGUUUACGGACGACCUAAAUGCCACAAUAUGCAUAAAAAUGAGGAAAUAUAAAAAAGAAGAUGUGGUAUUAUUGCCAAUGAGACAAACAUCCAAAAAAAACCAAAAUGACACAGAAAACAACAACUAUAGCUCACCGUACAGCCUACAACAAUGAGCAAAGCCCAUACCGCAUAGUCAGCUAUAAAGGCCCCAAUAAGACAAUGUAAAACAAUUUAAACAAGACAACUAACGGCCUUAGUUAUUUUAAAAAAUGAACGAAAAACAAAUAUGUAACACAUAAACAAACGAC
RNAcentral lists this long non-coding RNA (367 nucleotides) under Mytilus galloprovincialis (Mediterranean mussel). Lineage: Eukaryota; Metazoa; Mollusca; Bivalvia; Mytilida; Mytilidae. The record is from RNAcentral.